UUGAAUCAAAGAAAGAAGACUGUCUGCUGUGGCAGGAAUGGAGGUUGGGGGGAAGGAGGCUGCAAGUCUGUAAGUCCUGAACUUUGGAAUUAAUUUUACUCCUGACUGAUUAUGUGACUUUGGCAAGUUUCCUCUGUCUUUGGGGUUUUGCUUCCUCAAAUACUGCAGAGGAAGGAAUGCAAGCUCCAUCAUCAGUGGAACUUCCUGCCACAUGUAUGAAAGGUAACACUUCAUUUCCCCUGGAAUUCACACUGCGAAUACUUCAGGUUUUUUUCCUAUUUCAUAUUGCUAUUCUAGACCACUUUUUUCUCUAAGUCUUCCAUGACCACUUCUCUGAGAGAUGACCAUCCUCUAAGAAUGACAUAACCAUAGCCUUCCUGUUCUUCACCAAGUUGAAAGCCACCUUCUCCAAGAAAGCAGCUUACUGUCUAUCCUGAGCUGUGCCUGGAUAAUAAGUCUUCUAACAGAUUUUU
RNAcentral lists this long non-coding RNA (473 nucleotides) under Dasypus novemcinctus (nine-banded armadillo). RNAcentral describes it as "lncRNA (ENSDNOG00000050583.1)". The record is from RNAcentral. Lineage: Eukaryota; Metazoa; Chordata; Mammalia; Cingulata; Dasypodidae.